CGCAGCCGCGGUAAUUCCAGCUCCAAUAGCGUAUAUUAAAGUUGUUGCAGUUAAAAAGCUCGUAGUUGAAUUUCGGGAUCAAUAUUUCGGUCAUGCCGUUGGUAUGCACUGUUAUCAUUGAUUUCUCACCUUCUAAAGAACCGUAAUGCCAUUAAUUUGGUGUUACGGGGAAUUAGGACUGUUACCUUGAAAAAAUUAGAGUGUUUAAAGCAGGCUCACGCUUGAAUACAUUAGCAUGGAAUAAUGAAAUAGGACAUCCGAUUCUAUUUUGUUGGCUUCUAGGAUUGACGUAAUGAUUAAUAGGGACAGUUGGGGGCAUUAGUAUUCAAUUGUCAGAGGUGAAAUUCUUGGAUUUAUUGAAGACUAACUACUGCGAAAGCAUUUGCCAAGGAUGUUUUCAUUAAUCAAGAACGAAAGUUAGGGGAUCGAAGACGAUCAGAUACCGUCGUAGUCUUAACCAUAAACUAUGCCGACUAGGGAUCGGAUGAUGUUAAUUUUUAAUGACUCAUUCGGCGUCCG
Molecule: ribosomal RNA, 519 nt
Filed under: uncultured Glomus
Lineage: Eukaryota; Fungi; Glomeromycota; Glomeromycetes; Glomerales; Glomeraceae
Description: SSU rRNA
Rfam family: Eukaryotic small subunit ribosomal RNA
Source: RNAcentral